UCAGUGCCUGGCAACUUUGGACUUAAGAGUAUCCGGUAGGUGCAAAACAUCAGCCAGGCACUUGGUGCCCAAAGCCUUUGAUUACACCCCAGCUGGACAUCUAGAGCCUGGACGUCAGCUUGGGGAAAACCACUUCUUAUGCAGAAAGUAAAGCCCAGCAAAGGCCACCAGUUCUAGAGGCUGGAAGUCCAAGAUCAAAGUGCCAGCAACAGGCCUUGGGAGGGCCUGCCUCCUGGUUCAUAGAUGGCCAUCGUCUCCCUAUGUCUUCACACGGUGGAAGGGGCAAGGAAGGCUUCCCCACACACCUGCCCUUUACUCUGCGGAGCCCAGCUUCCUACUGCAGUAAACUCUCACAUGGCCAAGAAGUUUCUCAGAGCUCUCCCAGAGCCAGCAUAGGGGCUGCUUACAAAAAGCCCUUGGAAGCUGCUUCACUGUGGAAUCCACUCCCGCUCCUUGCUACUGCCUACAGGACAAGCAGCCCUCCUUUUUUGUCCUGCCACUGUCUGGCUGCCCUCUAACCCUCUACUAAUUAAAGCCACCAUUUGCUAUU
This 550-nucleotide long non-coding RNA is filed under the name Homo sapiens (human). Its description in RNAcentral is "HSALNT0302963". Lineage: Eukaryota; Metazoa; Chordata; Mammalia; Primates; Hominidae. The record is from RNAcentral.